Molecule: small nuclear RNA, 104 nt
Filed under: Phascolarctos cinereus (koala)
Lineage: Eukaryota; Metazoa; Chordata; Mammalia; Diprotodontia; Phascolarctidae
Source: RNAcentral
GUGCUUGCUUUGGCAGCAUAUAUACUAAAAUUGGAAUGAUACAUAGAUUAUCAUGGCCCCUGCGCAAGGAUGACAUGCAAAUUCGUGAAGCAUUGGAUAUUUUU